This 71-nucleotide transfer RNA is filed under the name Cyanobacteria bacterium SZAS-4. RNAcentral describes it as "tRNA-Gly". It matches the Rfam family "tRNA". From Rfam's summary of the family: Transfer RNA (tRNA) molecules are approximately 80 nucleotides in length. Their secondary structure includes four short double-helical elements and three loops (D, anti-codon, and T loops). The record is from RNAcentral. Lineage: Bacteria; Bacillati; Cyanobacteriota.
GCCCACCUGGUUCAGUGGCAGAACCUCGCUUGGCCAAGGCGAAAACAUCGGUUCGAUUCCGAUGGUGGGCU